GACGAACGCUGGCGGCGUGCCUAAUACAUGCAAGUAGAGCGAACAGAUUAGGAGGUUGUUCCUCUGACGUUAGCGGCUGACGGAUGAGUAAUCUGUGGUUACCAGUCAUAUGAGACUGGGAUACCUUCUGGAAAUCGGGGUUAAUACCGGUCUAUCACUUGAAACGUAUGGUUAGUCAGUGAAAGAGCGUUUUGAUGUUACUCAUCGCUGGCACCGCGCCGCUUUAGCUAGUUGGUAAGGUAACGCCUUACCAAGGCAACGAUGCGUAGCCGACCGGUGAAGGAGAGUGGCUACACUGGAACUGAGACACUGUCAAGACUCCUACGGGAGGCAGCAGUAGGGAAAGUGCCGCAAUGGGGGAAAGCCUAACGUAGCAACACCGCGUGAGAGAUGAAGGUCGUCGGAUCGUAAAACUCUCUUAUUAGGGAAGAACAAAAGUAUAAGUAACCAAGCACGUCUUGACGGUACCUAAUCAGAAAGCCACGGCUAACUCCGUG
This 497-nucleotide ribosomal RNA is filed under the name uncultured bacterium. RNAcentral's name for it is "partial 16S ribosomal RNA". It matches the Rfam family "Bacterial small subunit ribosomal RNA", at positions 28 to 507 of the family's 1533-position model. The record is from RNAcentral.